RNAcentral lists this long non-coding RNA (430 nucleotides) under Homo sapiens (human). RNAcentral's name for it is "HSALNT0023144". The record is from RNAcentral. Lineage: Eukaryota; Metazoa; Chordata; Mammalia; Primates; Hominidae.
UAACCACUAAAGACUGGAGAAUGCAUUCCAAGCCAGCUUUAGCAGUCACCACAGAAAUUGCCUGGUGCUUUUAAGAAGAACCCCAUGCCAAGUGGAGGACGGUGUGAGAAAUGCAGAAUGUGAUGGGGUAACUUGGCUGUGAUGUGCCUGCUCCCAUUUGCCUUCCACCAUGACUGGAAGCUCCCUGAGGCCUCCUCCAAAGCAGAAGCUGCCAUGCUUCCUGUACAGCCUGCAGAACCGGUCAGCAAAACCCAAGAAAGCCUUCAAGACCCCUGCACUGCAGGACAGACACACCCAUCCUGCCACUGCCUUGAUGGCGGUGACUGCUCCAACACUGCUUACAGAUUCAGACAAAUCCGAGAGACAGCUGUCCCUGAUAUGUUCAAGACUCUGCCAGCUCAACAGGCUGUGGGAAAACCAAAGAAAUAAU